UCCCAGGUGGCUCAGAUGGUAAAGCAUCUGCUUACAAUGUGGGAGACCCGGGUUUGAUCCCUGGAUUGGGAA
RNAcentral lists this transfer RNA (72 nucleotides) under Bos taurus (domestic cattle). It matches the Rfam family "tRNA". Rfam says of the family: Transfer RNA (tRNA) molecules are approximately 80 nucleotides in length. Their secondary structure includes four short double-helical elements and three loops (D, anti-codon, and T loops). RNAcentral also lists the same sequence under 5 other names. Lineage: Eukaryota; Metazoa; Chordata; Mammalia; Artiodactyla; Bovidae. The record is from Rfam by way of RNAcentral.